Molecule: ribosomal RNA, 1518 nt
Filed under: Citrobacter sp. Cf135
Lineage: Bacteria; Pseudomonadati; Pseudomonadota; Gammaproteobacteria; Enterobacterales; Enterobacteriaceae
Description: partial 23S ribosomal RNA
Rfam family: Bacterial large subunit ribosomal RNA
Source: RNAcentral
AAAAACCCGCACGCCGGAAGACCAAGGGUUCCUGUCCAACGUUAAUCGGGGCAGGGUGAGUCGACCCCUAAGGCGAGGCCGAAAGGCGUAGUCGAUGGGAAACAGGUUAAUAUUCCUGUACUUGGUGUUACUGCGAAGGGGGGACGGAGAAGGCUAUGUUAGCCGGGCGACGGUUGUCCCGGUUUAAGCAUGUAGGCGGAGGUUCCAGGUAAAUCCGGUACCUUUUUAACGCUGAGGUGUGAUGACGAGGCACUACGGUGCUGAAGUAACAAAUGCCCUGCUUCCAGGAAAAGCCUCUAAGCAUCAGGUAACAUCAAAUCGUACCCCAAACCGACACAGGUGGUCAGGUAGAGAAUACCAAGGCGCUUGAGAGAACUCGGGUGAAGGAACUAGGCAAAAUGGUGCCGUAACUUCGGGAGAAGGCACGCUGAUAUGUAGGUGAAGCGGUUUACCCGUGGAGCUGAAAUCAGUCGAAGAUACCAGCUGGCUGCAACUGUUUAUUAAAAACACAGCACUGUGCAAACACGAAAGUGGACGUAUACGGUGUGACGCCUGCCCGGUGCCGGAAGGUUAAUUGAUGGGGUUAUCCGUAAGGAGAAGCUCUUGAUCGAAGCCCCGGUAAACGGCGGCCGUAACUAUAACGGUCCUAAGGUAGCGAAAUUCCUUGUCGGGUAAGUUCCGACCUGCACGAAUGGCGUAAUGAUGGCCAGGCUGUCUCCACCCGAGACUCAGUGAAAUUGAACUCGCUGUGAAGAUGCAGUGUACCCGCGGCAAGACGGAAAGACCCCGUGAACCUUUACUAUAGCUUGACACUGAACACUGGUCCUUGAUGUGUAGGAUAGGUGGGAGGCUUUGAAGUGUGGACGCCAGUCUGCAUGGAGCCAUCCUUGAAAUACCACCCUUUAAUGGCUGGUGUUCUAACGUGGACCCGUAAUCCGGGUUGCGGACAGUGUCUGGUGGGUAGUUUGACUGGGGCGGUCUCCUCCUAAAGAGUAACGGAGGAGCACGAAGGUUAGCUAAUCCUGGUCGGACAUCAGGAGGUUAGUGCAAAGGCAUAAGCUAGCUUGACUGCGAGAGUGACGGCUCGAGCAGGUGCGAAAGCAGGUCUUAGUGAUCCGGUGGUUCUGAAUGGAAGGGCCAUCGCUCAACGGAUAAAAGGUACUCCGGGGAUAACAGGCUGAUACCGCCCAAGAGUUCAUAUCGACGGCGGUGUUUGGCACCUCGAUGUCGGCUCAUCACAUCCUGGGGCUGAAGUAGGUCCCAAGGGUAUGGCUGUUCGCCAUUUAAAGUGGUACGCGAGCUGGGUUUAGAACGUCGUGAGACAGUUCGGUCCCUAUCUGCCGUGGGCGCUGGAGAAUUGAGGGGGGCUGCUCCUAGUACGAGAGGACCGGAGUGGACGCAUCACUGGUGUUCGGGUUGUCAUGCCAAUGGCAUUGCCCGGUAGCUAAAUGCGGAAGAGAUAAGUGCUGAAAGCAUCUAAGCACGAAACUUGCCCCGAGAUGAGUUCUCCCUGAGACU